GGUUGAAGUUCAAGUACUUUUGGACCCAUGGUAUGAGCUUCCUGUUGAGCUGCUGUUUCACAAAUUAUUAAAUAUCCCAGUGUUGAUGGGUUGUUUUGGUUGGGAGGAGUCUCCAUGAGGCUUGCAGCUCUUGUGUUGAGUGGUUGUUGGAGAGAGACUCCUUCUCAUUAGUGUGAAUCUCCGGGGCCUCGGCUAGUAUCGCGUGCUUUUCUUUUCUUGAGGUUUUUAUUACCUCAGCUCUGUGCCAAUCAACUUGUAUGUCAUUCUCAUAUGCACUCAUCGCUAAGGCUGUACUCAUUUUGCCAUUAGCGAGGUCUCUUUUAUGUUCAUUCAAUCUUUGGUCGAGUGCCCUAGUUGUAACUUCUAUGUACAACUCAUUUUUGCAUGUGUCAUUAUUCCUGACUGGUAUAAUUUGUAUAUCCUGGAUCUUUGUUUACUUUCUACUUUUUCUUUCUCAUUCCUGAGUUGGCUAUAUAGCGUCGGGUACCUCUUAUAAGCUAUUUUCUUAUUGGUUUUUCCAACUAAUCUAGCAACUUUGGAAUCUUUCAUCGUAUAUGAGAUAGGUUCAUAUUCCAUAUCUUUUGCCUCUUCAAUGGCAUUUUUGCCUUCCAGGGAUUGCUGUAUUUUAUAAUAAAUUGCUUCUAAGAACCACUUAGUAUAUACAUACAACUGACCCAUUCUGUAGAUGUACUCAAAUUCUUUUUCCAUUUCCUCCUGGGUAGUGACGUAAGUGUUGGCCCUUUUGAAGUAAUACCUAAAUGCAGAAAUUUUAUAGAUCGGGUCAGGAGACCAUCUGGGUAUGAUAACUGGUUCAUAUGCUGGCCUUCUAUAGACUGCAGUGUCCAGUUUCUUAUUCUUUAGCUCUAACUUUAUAUCUAGGAAAUGGAAAUAUAAAGGAAAAGGAAAUGUGCCGAUGUACAUCAGCACAUUUCCUAGAUAUAAAGUUACGCAAUACUAGCCGAGGCCAUGGAGAUUUACACUAACGAGAAGGAGAGUCUCUUGAAUAACCACUCAGCACAAGAGUUGC
Molecule: long non-coding RNA, 1027 nt
Filed under: Androctonus crassicauda
Lineage: Eukaryota; Metazoa; Arthropoda; Arachnida; Scorpiones; Buthidae
Source: RNAcentral